This is a non-coding RNA of Rattus norvegicus (Norway rat), 2798 nucleotides long. The record is from RefSeq and is a predicted model, not a curated record. Lineage: Eukaryota; Metazoa; Chordata; Mammalia; Rodentia; Muridae.
AAUUUCGGACUUGUCUCUGCUAUGGCUUAAGCUGUGUUGAGUUCUGUGCGCACUAGGGGGCCACCACUGCGGUGGCUAAAGUAGCUGGUAGGGCGCCCAGCUGCCUUGGGGACGGGACUAAGUAAGCAACCACAGCAGGUGGAGGUCUUCCAAGCGCAGCUUAGGCUGCUGAGGGAUGUGCUUAGCGAGGAGCUCGCAGAAGUUUCAACUAUAACAUUUCUAUAACAGUGACAGCAGCCUAGAGGAUGCCCUGACCCCACUGCGGACACAGGCCGCCAGACUCCAGGGUUGUUCUCAGCUAGUGAGAUCAGCUCCCAGCAACCCAGAGCUGAGUUGAUUUUCCGCCGUGCGUUCACUUCCCGAUUCCUGCUACCCAUUCUGGGUCCCACCCUUCCAUUCCACUCUCCAUAACUGCCUCCCGGAGUUGCUUCUCAUCCCGGGGUUAUGACAGGUUAAAUUUGGAGUCCUUGGCUUAUGGCUGGGGUUACUUCCCUGUUCUUUUCUCGGGCCCUCAAGGUAGCUCAGUUACAAACAGUAGAUCCUUUCUGUGAAUGGCACACAGCAUCUGAAUCAUACAGAGGGAUUCCUGCCUUCUGCUGACCUGUCACUGAGGUAUCAUUGUCUUACCAAAGCUCACACGUAGUUUUGAGGCUUGUGAGCUUGCUAUGAGGGAGGCCCAGAGCCACCUGGUCAGCUUUCUGCGGGCAUGGAGACAUAUUCCUCUUCUCUGUCCACGAGUGCUAUGGUUUGAACAUUCUUUCUCAUCACCAGAGUUCACACGGAAAGCCCCAGUGUGGGAGUGUUGAGAUGCCCUCAGACCUUUAAGAGAUUAGAACUCUCAGCUACCUCUCUGCCUGUCUGCAUGCCAACAGGUCUCCCACCGUGAUGAUAAGGAACUAAACCAUUGUGAGCCAGCUCCAAAUUACAUGCUUUCCUAUAUAAGAGUUGCGUGGUCAUGGUGUCUCUUCACAGCAAUAGAUCAUUGACUAAGGCUGGUGGUGGCGGCAGCAGCAGAAGCAGCAGCAGCAUGUGGAGGCAGAGGCAGGAGAAUGAAUCUCUGAGAUCAAGACCAGUCUGGCAGUGCUACGCAGAGAACCCCUGUCUGAAAAGAAAAGAAAAAAGUUAAAACAAACAAACAAACUCCCAAACGAACAAUUAAGACAGUACUCAGUUCAAAUGUUCCAUCGCGGCAACAGAAAUCAGACUUAGACGGUAAGAUGUUCUUAUCUCCCUUUUCAGCUCAGAUGUAACCCCAUCUCACAGGCUUGCUGUUCUCGUUGUGUUCAGCUGGCCGUGGUGCUCCGUUGACGAUCCUCAGGAGCUCGAUUCGGUAUCGCUCCGCUCUGUUUGUAAUAGAAGACUCAGAGACUUAACAGCUACCCACCAUGCCUGUUGCCAUCUUCCAAGAAUCCUCCUCGUUGACUUUAAUGAGAAGAAAUUCACAUGAAUGAACACACAUAUGCACACAUAGACAGAAACAUAGACAGUUGGUUUAUGGAGUUCACCAGGCUCAAUACAAGCUUUAGGUGUUCAGGCCUCAGGGAUUCUUCGGUUUCUCUGCCAGUGACACUUGGGAUGUGUCCUACUGCCAAGAACCUUGGCUUAAAUCUUCUGGGCCUAACUCAAGUUAUCAGAGGCAAUCUGAAGACAUUUUCUGUCCUCAGUGUGCCAUGUGUUUUGAUCCUUGUAUCUGGGCAGGCAGGGCGCUCUAAAAUAGUGCUCAAUGGUUAAGAGCAUUUGUUACUCUUACACAGGACUUAGGUUUGGUUCCCAGCACCCAUGUGGUGGCUCACAACGGACUCCAGUUCCAACCAAUCCCAGUUCUACCAGCACCCACCCUCUCUACACCUCCUCCGGUACUAGGCACACACAUGGUGACUAAUACAUGCAGGCAAAACACUCAUACACAUAAAAUAAACAAACCUAAAAGAUUUUUUUUAAAGAUGAAUCUAUUCUAUGUAUGUGAAUACACUGUCACUGUCUUCAGACACACCAGAAGAGGGCAUCUGAUCCCCUUACAGAUAGUUGUGAGCCACCAUGUGGUUGCUGGGAAUUGAACUCAGGACCUCUGGAAGAGCAGCCAGUGCUCUUAACCACUAACUCAUCUCUUUAGCUCCAGAAAGAUGUUUUAAAAGCCUGGUACAUGACAGCUUAUUGUUGCUUUGUGUGUAAAGCACUUCCCAGCACUGGGUACGGUGGCACAUCCCUUCAAUCCCAGCACCCCAGAAGUAGAGGUGGGCAUAUCUCUUGAAUUCAAGCCAGCCUGGUUUAUAAAUGGAGUUCCAAGACAAAUUCCAGGAAGAAUUUGAACACCAGGUCAUGCUGUGGUUUUCCCCAGCAGGUCUAUUAUGGGUCAGACCUUUAUGCCUCAGUCACAUCUCUCCAAAGCUGUCUAUGCCUUAUCAUCUGAACAUGAUACGGGGUACCUUGGCUGUGCCACAUCAUAUAAAACUCUAAGCAAAUGCAUUUGCUGUGCCCUUUCCUUGACAGACUGACCUUUAUUAGUGCUUGUGGUGGUUUCUAUACGCUGGGUGCAGGCAGUGGCACUAUCAGGAGGUGUGGCCUUGCUGGAGUGGGUGUGGCUGUGUUGGAGGAAGUGUGCCUCUGUGGGGGCAGCCUUUGAGACCCUAGUUACCUGGAGGUCAGUCUUCUGACUGCUUUCAGAUCAAGAUGUAGAACUCUUGGCUCCUUGUCCAGCACCAUGUCUGCCUGGAUGCUGCCAUGCUUCCCGCCUUGAUGUUAAUGGACUGAACCUCUGAACCCGUAAGCCAGCCCCAAUUAAAUGUUUGCCUUUGUAA